This 1483-nucleotide ribosomal RNA is filed under the name uncultured bacterium. Its description in RNAcentral is "16S ribosomal RNA". It matches the Rfam family "Bacterial small subunit ribosomal RNA". The record is from RNAcentral.
UUUGAUCCUGGCUCAGGAUGAACGCUAGCGGCAGGCUUAAUACAUGCAAGUCGAGGGGCAGCACGGGUAGCAAUACCUGGGGGGGACCGGGGCACGGGUGUGAGUAACGCGUAUGCAACCUACCUGUAACAGAGGGAUAGCCCAUAGAAAUGUGGAUUAAUAUCUCAUAGUUCUAUUAGAUCGCAUGAUUUGAUAGAUAAAGCUCCGGCGGUUAAAGAUGGGCAUGCGUGACAUUAGCUAGUUGGUAAGGUAACGGCUUACCAAGGCUACGAUGUCUAGGGGUUCUGAGAGGAUGAUCCCCCACACUGGUACUGAGACACGGACCAGACUCCUACGGGAGGCAGCAGUGAGGAAUAUUGGUCAAUGGGCGCAAGCCUGAACCAGCCAUCCCGCGUGAAGGAUGAAGGUCCUAUGGAUUGUAAACUUCUUUUAUACACCAAGAAAAACUCCCACGUGUGGGAGCCCGACGGUAGUGUAUGAAUAAGCAUCGGCUAACUCCGUGCCAGCAGCCGCGGUAAUACGGAGGAUGCAAGCGUUAUCCGGAUUCAUUGGGUUUAAAGGGUGCGCAGGUGGGAAAAUAAGUCAGUGGUGAAAUACUGCCGCUUAACGGUAGGAUUGCCAUUGAUACUGGGGAUCUUGAGUACAGUUGAAGUAGGUGGAAUGUGUUGUGUAGCGGUGAAAUGCAUAGAUAUGACACAGAACGCCGAUUGCGAAGGCAGCUUACUAAGCCAUUACUGACGCUGAGGCACGAAAGCGUGGGGAUCGAACAGGAUUAGAUACCCUGGUAGUCCACGCCGUAAACGAUGAUCACUCGCUGUUUGCGAUAUACAGCAAGCGGCUGAGCGAAAGCAUUAAGUAAUCCACCUGGGGAGUACGUCGGCAACGAUGAAACUCAAAGGAAUUGACGGGGGCCCGCACAAGCGGAGGAACAUGUGGUUUAAUUCGAUGAUACGCGAGGAACCUUACCUGGGCUUAAAUGUAGGUUGCAUAGAGGGGAAACUCUCUUUUCCUUCGGGGCUGCUUACAAGGUGCUGCAUGGCUGUCGUCAGCUCGUGUCGUGAGAUGUUGGGUUAAGUCCCGCAACGAGCGCAACCCCUAUCCUUAGUUGCCAGCACAUUAAGUUGGGCACUCUAAGGAGACUGCCGGUGUCAAACCGGAGGAAGGUGGGGAUGACGUCAAGUCCUCAUGGCCCUUAUGUCCAGGGCUACACACGUGCUACAAUGGCCGAUACAAAGGGCAGCUACCAGGUGACUGGAUGCUAAUCUCCAAAGUCGGUCUCAGUUCGGAUCGAAGUCUGCAACCCGACUUCGUGAAGCUGGAUUCGCUAGUAAUCGCAUAUCAGCCAUGAUGCGGUGAAUACGUUCCCGGGCCUUGUACACACCGCCCGUCAAACAAUGGAAGCUGGGGGUACCUGAAGUCUGUAACCGCAAGGAGCGGCCUAGGGUAAAACUAGUAACUGGUGUUAAGUCGUAACAAGGUAACC